UCUUCAAAUUUAAUUCUGAAUUGCUCUGGAGUGACUUCCCUGAUAACAUCUGAUAUAGCUUCAAUAAAUUACGUUCACUCUAAACCACGAAAAGCUGUUUGAGAUGAAUUUUGAAGGAAUGCAUCAAGUACUCUAACUGUGGACAUUCAAGAUUUGAGCCAGAGAAUCUGAUUCAGACAGAGGAUGCUUAGAGCAGCAGAUAUUCUAUUCAUAAACUAAGAAGCAUGUUUAAAUUCAGUGAAGAAAUAUUAGGAUGGUCAAUGUCUUCAUACACCUGCUUUCUACUAGUUAAUUUUAUUCUGUCUGAUGAGUGUGUGAUUAGUUCAUGGUUUUAUACUACUUCCUUAUCUCACACUGUACUUGAGUUCUUUCUUUUUGGACGGUGCUAUGUAAGAGAAAUUUGAAGCACUGCGAAUCUUAAAUCUUCCAAACAGUUAUGCGUUGUCUUCUAUCGACUCUGCAUGUUUCAUUAUGAAGAUCAAGUCUUUGCCGAA
This is a non-coding RNA of Cucurbita pepo subsp. pepo (vegetable marrow), 494 nucleotides long. Lineage: Eukaryota; Viridiplantae; Streptophyta; Magnoliopsida; Cucurbitales; Cucurbitaceae. The record is from RefSeq and is a predicted model, not a curated record.